CACGGACACACACACACAGGGAAUACAGCCAGGGGCAGAGGUUGGAAUUAUGGCGCCAUAAGCCACAUUGUAUGGCAUUCUUUGGUUUGUGGAAGAGGCAAAGGAGAAAUCUAUUUAUAAAUAUGUAACCAUGCUUGGAAACAUUGGACAAGAAUAUCACUAUUCCCUAUUGCUAUGCCUGGGCAGACAUCACUAAUUGAUCACAGCACUCUCCCCAGUGAGUUUGGACAGAGUCACACAAUUUUAUGCAAUGUUCCAAGCAGCCACUACCACUGGUUGGAAUUACAUGUGAAGUCAAUCCUAUCUGAUGUCCUAGAGCCAGUAUCUCAGCGGAUGAAAAUUUUAAGUGCCUAAAGGAGGGUGAGGAUCGUGCCAAAGUGGUAUUUUCUUUCACAACUUACAUAUACCAGCAACUAGAAAGAAACAAUAAAGGAAGUAGCAACA
This is a long non-coding RNA of Panthera uncia (snow leopard), 444 nucleotides long. RefSeq lists it as uncharacterized. The record is from RefSeq and is a predicted model, not a curated record. The transcript has 2 exons. Lineage: Eukaryota; Metazoa; Chordata; Mammalia; Carnivora; Felidae.